Molecule: long non-coding RNA, 1072 nt
Organism: Papaver somniferum (opium poppy)
Lineage: Eukaryota; Viridiplantae; Streptophyta; Magnoliopsida; Ranunculales; Papaveraceae
Exons: 3
Source: RefSeq, a predicted model, not a curated record
UGUGCCUGACUAUUGAAUUAUCCCAUCGUUUGCAUCUCAAGAACUGUAAAACCAUUAAGAACAAUCAAAGGCCAUGAGCAGCUGCUGUCAUAUAUAACCAUCUAUGAACCUGAUGUCGCUGAUGUUUCGAACCGAGAACUCAAACUCUGUCAGCAAAUAAAUCGAGAAGAGAACAGCAGUCAAGAGCAUCCAUGUUUCCUCGCAGCCGAUAACCAAAACGAACAAGCACCGAUUCUUCUCAAAUCAACCCAACUCUAGUUUGUGUUGCUGGCUGUUCGACAUACUAAGAACAGUACAGAUCAAGAGCUGAUGCUUCUCUGAUUUCUUGACUGAAUCCAGUCCAUAACCUUCAAUCAAUUGAACCUCAAAUAUCACCAGCAACACUAUUUCUUUCAUAAUUUCUUUAGAAAACCAAAACCCCCAAAUUGUAUCUGUUGCUGUAAGAAGCCCUAAUUGUUGUUACCGUUUCUCAAUGGAGAAUAUCAAUCGAUGCCCAGAACUCCCAAAUUCUGACCUGUCUUCCCUUUUGAUUAACAUUGACUUGCAUGGAUCUCGUCUUCAUUCCCAUCAGCAGAAUUAUCCAAACAGCCACCAAAACCAACACCCAUCCUUUAGUUCUUCCAUUCCCUGUUUUCUUCAUGGAAUCCAGGCCACGACUCGACCCACAGACAUCACCAGCAAACCCCAACAGAUGCAUCAUCUUCGCUGCUCUACCGAUCUCUUCCACCACCACCGGCAAUUGUUCUUCGCCAUUCAAUACCAAUUUUAGCUGCUUGACAUGUAAAUGGUGAAGUGAAGGAAUGGAUAUGUUUGAUGCUUGAACUACUAAUGGAAUAAUUUGAGUCAAAGUUUUCUCUUCCCAUGAGCGGCUAAUCUCACAGCUUACCGGACCUGCACAGAGCUUAGGGCUGCUAGAUCACGGUGGUUACUGGAUGUUUUCUUAUCUUUGCCGAAUAUGGCCUUUAGCAAGGGCUUUGCUUCUGCAUGGAAAGCUGACGUUGCCCACUCCGAACCCGCAGAAAGAUGCAUGAAAGUCUCCUCAUCAGUAGAGUAUAGGAUGAAAGUGUAUCCC